Non-coding RNA from Pelobates cultripes (western spadefoot toad), 264 nucleotides. NCBI's taxonomy places the organism in Eukaryota, Metazoa, Chordata, Amphibia, Anura, Pelobatidae. The record is from the annotation of a GenBank genome assembly.
UCAUGUCAGUUUUCAUUUAAAUGGACAGUUGUUGCAUACAGGUGUUCUAACUCACAACACAUAAAAUGUUACCAAUUGUUGAUUGGUUUACUUGUAGAUUCCUUUUACAGUCCUUUGUUGUGCUGAGUGACAUACACACUGUAUAAAUCUUGAAUAAUAAAGCAAUUAAUGUUAUUGUUUGUGUUGAUUUCUAAAACAAAACAAAAAACCUAAACCAAUAGAAAAGAAGUUACCCCCCCCAAAAAAAAAUAUUUUAUAUAUAUA